RNAcentral lists this transfer RNA (71 nucleotides) under Aeriscardovia aeriphila. It matches the Rfam family "tRNA". From Rfam's summary of the family: Transfer RNA (tRNA) molecules are approximately 80 nucleotides in length. Their secondary structure includes four short double-helical elements and three loops (D, anti-codon, and T loops). The record is from RNAcentral. Lineage: Bacteria; Bacillati; Actinomycetota; Actinomycetes; Bifidobacteriales; Bifidobacteriaceae.
GGGCUAUAGCGCAGUUGGUAGCGCAUCUGCUUUGCAAGCAGAGGGUCGCCGGUUCGAACCCGGCUAGCUCC